RNAcentral lists this long non-coding RNA (239 nucleotides) under Haliotis rubra (blacklip abalone). RNAcentral's name for it is "uncharacterized LOC124275705". Lineage: Eukaryota; Metazoa; Mollusca; Gastropoda; Lepetellida; Haliotidae. The record is from RNAcentral.
CCCUACCACCACCUUGUCAUUCGACUCAUGGUGCAACAACUGGAACUGGAUCAUCGAUGUGACCUCGGUUGCGCAAGGGCGAAUAUGAGACAAGCAUUCCAGGAUAUACAAACACACUGUUACACAUGAUGGAUUUAUGGAGGAACACAUCAAAUAAUCCAGGAGCUGUGAAUUAUAAAUAUGGAUGACUGCAAAAAGCAAAGAAGAAGAUAAUGAAAACAAACUGAAAAAAGUGUACA